Molecule: long non-coding RNA, 321 nt
Filed under: Ananas comosus (pineapple)
Lineage: Eukaryota; Viridiplantae; Streptophyta; Magnoliopsida; Poales; Bromeliaceae
Description: long non-coding RNA (ACOM_LNC010827)
Source: RNAcentral
AUAAGAGCAGCAAGUUGUUUUAGGCUCAAUUUGGAAUUGCGAAGAGAUUACUUUACUUGCGGUGACAAGAUAUGGUGAAAAAAAUACGUUAUUAUUUACAUACGUAAUAUUAUUCGAGAAAUGAUUCGGUACUUUAUUCUUAAAAAAAUAAAAUAGAUUUUAACCGUUGAUUAAUACAUCGUAAAGAUGUAAUUUUAACAUUUAGUAGGUAAAAGGAUUACAUCAUGCGAGGUUAUUUUGGUAAUUAAACUACACAAUAUUUAAAGAAACUUUUAAUUGAUAUCCUAAAUUUAUGCAUUAAUUUGCACUAAUUUGGAAAAU